ACAAACUUAACAUGAGCCAGCAGUGUGCUCUUGCAGCUCAGAAAGCAAAUGGUAUCCUGGGCUCCAUCAUGAGAGGGGUGGCCAGCAGGGACAGGGAGGUGAUUGUCCCUCUCUACUCUGCUCUUGUGAGGCCCCAUCUGGAGUACUGUGUCCAGGUCUGGAGCCCCCAGUACAAGAAAGACAGAGAGCUGUUGGAGAGGGUCCAGAGGAGGGCUACAAAGAUGAUCAGGGGGCUGGAGCACCUCCCCUACCAGGACAGGCUUAGGGAGCUGGGCUUAUUCAGCCUGGAGAAGAGAAGGCUGCGGGAUGACCUCAUUGCAGCCUUUCAGUACCUGAAGGGAGCCUAUAAACAGGAAGGGAGUAAACUCUUUGAAAGGGUAGAUAACAGCAGGACAAGGGGGAACGGUUUUAUGUUGAAAGAGGGAAGAUUUAGGUUGGAUGUUAGGGGGAAGUUCUUUACCAGGAGAGUGGUGAGGUGCUGGAACGGGCUGCCCAGAGAGGUUGUAGAUGUCCCGUCCCUAGAGGAGUUCAAGGCCAGGUUGGAUGGGGCCCUGGGCAACCUGGUCUAGUAAAUGGGGAGGUUGGUGGCCCUGCCCGGCAGGGGGGUUGGAGAUUCAUGAUCCUUGAGGUCCCUUCCAACCCAGGCCAUUCUGUGACUCUGUGAUUCUGCGAUUUCUUCAUUUUUGAAGUACAGUCAGUCUUUGUUUUGUUGUUGGGAUGCUUUGGUUGGAAUCCUGUGCUAAUUUCCAUUGUUUCUCUUUUGAUUUCUUAGAACAGUCCAGCAGGGAUGAGUGCUACUACGCCCUUUGUCCUGCUGCUCUCAGCCAUGAUUACAAGACCGGUCUCCAUCCUCCCAAGCUCUGCUUCAUCCCAUGCAGCACACAAGUCCCUUCUCUUCCACUUCAUCCCACUCAGUCCUGUUAGGUCAGCUUUCCCCUUUGCACAUGGAGCCUCUCACCACACACUCUCUCAGCGGUUCCCACUGAGCCCACCAGCCCUUCAGCAAUAUCACCUUCCUCAGUCCUUCCCUGCCACCCCGCUAAAUAUCCACCACUUCACAGUGCAGGCUGGCUGGGUGGUUUGUUGCUGAUACCUGGCUCCGAACGAAGGCAUCACUCUCAGAGUAUUUCCAGCACCAUCUGCCGCUUUCCUUUAUUUCAGUUUCUAGAAAGGGUUUUACUGUAGCAGAGAGGCAGCGGAGGAAUCUGGAUAUGGCUGACACAAAUCCCAGAAAACGUUUGUCUGUUUGCCUUACACGCUAAUUAGUGCCGACUUGGUCAAAAGUGCUCUGAACUUUUAUUUAUUUAUUUUUCUCCUUUCUCGAGCAUCUAUCACCAUGACAGCAACGCGCUCCAACCGCAGGAAAUUAAAACACCCGACACAAGCAGCUAAUCAAAUGCAGAAGCAAACAGAAGAAUUUUGCACAGAGCUCUCGGUGUCACUCCGAUCCCGCUUUGACGGGCAGCAGAGUUUCUGCGGGGAAAGAGAAAUGUUUUGUUUGCUUCAAAUUCCCUUUUCCCUUGGAAGCGUAAACGUGAAAUUACUCUCUCCUCCUCCGUUGGGAUGUCUUAUUUAUUUUCCUGCUGGUGGCUGUUAAAGGAGAUGCCGUUCAAUUAUGCCCUGGGUUGAAUUAAUGGCUCACACAGCUCAGUGUGCAUGUUCUGGUGUGGGCUUGCCCACGUGGAGGGGCUGGUGGGGCUUUCAUGGGGCAAGGGAAGGCCCUGCAGAAGAGCAGCUCCCUGCAGCCCUCUCGAAUCUCUGACAUAUGUUUGGUUGUAGGAUCCAGAGUAGACCUCACGUCUGGGCUGAGUGGAGCUUUUUAUUUUCUGACACGCUGCAUAUGUCCAUCCCAGUCUUCACCCUGUUAGAAACUUGAAUUAGAAAUCUGCUAUCUUCUCUUGAGUGCCAUUACUCAAUCACCAUCUUAUACUGGAGUCUUCAGAUGAUUUCUUUAGAGGAGCAGUGGAUUUUUACCACAAAUAACUUUUGGUUGAUUCCCCUUGCGCCUACAUUUGUUUUUGUUUGUAUACUUUGUUGACUGUUCAGGCACGUAAGUACACCCACCAAGGAGCAUCAUGAAGGACUUCUUUCUUCUGGCUUUCCUUAGCACUGAAAACUGGACUGCAUUUUUUUUUACAAGCGCUGAUAAAAUAUCUGCCAUACGAGUAAUGGAUCAUGCACAGCUUGAGGUCUUCCGUGCGCCCAGCAAAUCUCUGCAGCCCUCCCCAUCCAGGCAGACCUCAGCAGACCCACGAGUGCUCUUUGGCUCACCCCAAGGCUUUCUGGCCAGCAAACGCUGAAAGCUAUCGAACGUGGUUCCAUAGGGCACACUGAAGUACCCACAUGUACUGAAUGCUGGAGGUCAGAGGCAGGGAAAGGCAUCUCAUCCUGUCCCAAGUCUCAAAAUGCAGAGAAAGGAUGCUCCUACCUGGUGCGUGAGCAGAGGUUGCCCAUGGUCUGAGGAUCUCACUUGGUCUCGGCUGGUUCUGGCACAAAGUGAGCAAAGAGAGCUCGCCAAACUGCCAGUGCUGCCAUUCCACUCCCCUUGUUCCCUGUGCUGACUGUAGACUCGCAGAGCAAUCUGGGUUGGGAGGGACCUCAGGAUCACACCAGUCAAGUCCAGCGCCUCUUGGCCUACCCAGUGCCUCUUGACUCACACGGCGGCUUCUCCGCGAAGCUCUGGUUCAGCCCUGCUGACCCACCCUGCAGAGAGCUGCUCCAAGUUCAGACGGCAGAGCCCACACUUUGCCAGCUCUCUUGAACGUGGGAGCUCCAAAGAGUCCAUGCGAUACAGUAUCACAAGGAAAACAGUUCUGGUGCUCGGAAGGAAACAAUUCACCACGCAGCAAAACGAGUGGAUCGGCAGAUCACAAUUCAGACAAAAUGUUUUCUCAAGCAAGUGCCCGGGAAGUAAAAAUGAAAAGAUUUUUUUUUCUUUUCUUAACUAAUUAGAAGUUCCUCUGUGACUGGGAGUGGAGUGUUCAUCAGGACGUUACGGCCUCUUAAAAAUAAUCAAAAUGUUCCAGGAGCUACAGACCAAAGCCUCAGCAAGAUGCACCAUCUUCUUAGUGGAAAAGUGAAUUCCAGCCACUGCGAUACUCCAUCUGAUGAGAACACUUAGCUGUGAUGGGGUGAAAUAAAGUGCUUUAUUAUACUAAAGUGAGCCAUGCUGGGAGUGUUGGGAAUACGGUUAAUGCAAGUACAGGGAAAUUAUACAGCAUCCGCUUUGACUUUCUGAUUUCCUCUAAUGGACACGUGGCCCCCAGCCCAAGUGCUCAGGGAGCUCUGUGCCAUGCAGUUUCCCCAGAGAGCUCUGUGCCAUGCUGUUUCCCCAGUUA
Molecule: long non-coding RNA, 3338 nt
Organism: Gallus gallus (chicken)
Lineage: Eukaryota; Metazoa; Chordata; Aves; Galliformes; Phasianidae
Source: Ensembl